This 1223-nucleotide long non-coding RNA is filed under the name Gallus gallus (chicken). Lineage: Eukaryota; Metazoa; Chordata; Aves; Galliformes; Phasianidae. The record is from RNAcentral.
UCGUAGGUUCCACCAGAACAGGGCUGCAUUAUAGAUCAUGACCGUGGCGAUCCUGUUGCCCGACUUCAUUCUGUAGAGGGGGCUCUUCCUGGACGUGGCGUGGUCGAAGUGGGGCUCGUAGUGGCCGCCCAGCCCAUAGUUGACCACCUGCAGGUACUCAGCGUAGGGUGGCCGCAGAUCCAGGCCGGUGAUGGCUGCCAUGCGCAGCUCCAGCGCCUGCACCACGGGGUCGGCCGUGUCCUUCAGCCAGGCACUCUUGCUUAUCCGGUACUCUACUUUCUGCUGCUUCUCUCCAGAGGCGACCACAGACCUCUGCAGCCAGGGCCCUGCCAGUCCCUUAAUGGUCUCAGCCUCGGCAUCGCUGACAAAGUCGUGGUACAGCACAAUGUAGGGCUGGAGCCGCAGCGUCUCCUUCUUGGCAGGCUGCAGCAGGAGGUAGGGGCUGCCAUUGGUCUCAUAGGAACAGCCAAGGUGUGAGGGCCGCUCCGGGGCCAUCUGUGCCCCCAGGCCCUGGCACAGCUCCUCGUAGGCAUCCCGGUUCUGCAGCUGGGUGACAUUGGGGCGCUGCAGGGGUGCCCCCACGCGGUCCCCAUGUGUUGCCAGCAGCUUCUCAUACUUGGCCACGUUCCUCGUCACCCUCUGGUUGCUGGGAUCAUAGUGAAGAAACUCCCUGGAGAGAGUCAAUGCAUGGGAGAUGUUUCCAGCCAUGAAGUAGGAGAAGGCGAGGUAGUCCAGCGCAUCCUCCAGGCUGCCCCGCUCCUCCUCCGGGUUCCAGCUGCCAUAGGAGAGGCGAAAACGGCUGACGGCCUCUUCCAGCCAUGCAAUGGAGUGGUAGUAGUCACCUGUGUCAUAGGCCACCACGGCUGUUUUCGGUGGCCUCGCUGCUGUACACAACGCUGGGCCAGUCGGAGCUCAGGCGUUUGAUGAGGCUGAAGGCCAACAAGGGGUUGUCCACCGAGGCUCCGGGGUCCUGGUGCAGUGCCCGGACCUUCUCAUAGAACCUGCUCAGGCGGCGGAGCCGGGUGCUCUCCUCCCGGAGGUACGCACGGAGCCGCCGCAGCAGCCGCCCCUCAUUGCCCCGCGCCUGACGGACGCUGCGCAGCGCUGAGAAGGUGUCGGUGUGGGCGGGGGGCAGCCAGGCCAGCAGGGCCCCCAGCCCCAGCACCCCCACGGCCCGCAUCCCCCUCCCGGAGGCCGGAGUGGGAGGGAAGGAUGGAGGGAGG